RNAcentral lists this ribosomal RNA (253 nucleotides) under uncultured bacterium. RNAcentral's name for it is "partial 16S ribosomal RNA". It matches the Rfam family "Bacterial small subunit ribosomal RNA", at positions 524 to 776 of the family's 1533-position model. The record is from RNAcentral.
UACGAAGGGGGCUAGCGUUGUUCGGAUUUACUGGGCGUAAAGCGCGUGUAGGCGGGCCGUUAAGUUGGGGGUGAAAUCCCGGAGCUCAACUCCGGAACUGCCUCCAAAACUGGCGGCCUGGAGCAGAGGAGAGGCGAGCGGAAUUCCGGGUGUAGAGGUGAAAUUCGUAGAUAUUCGGAGGAACACCAGUGGCGAAGGCGGCUCGCUGGACUCUUGCUGACGCUGAGACGCGAAAGCGUGGGGAGCAAACAGG